CCUACGGGAGGCAGCAGUGGGGAAUAUUGGACAAUGGGCGCAAGCCUGAUCCAGCAAUGCCGCGUGAGUGAUGAAGGCCUUAGGGUCGUAAAGCUCUUUUACCAGGGAUGAUAAUGACAGUACCUGGAGAAUAAGCUCCGGCUAACUCCGUGCCAGCAGCCGCGGUAAUACGGAGGGAGCUAGCGUUGUUCGGAAUUACUGGGCGUAAAGCGUACGUAGGCGGUUAUUCAAGUCAGAGGUGAAAGCCCGGGGCUCAACCCCGGAACGGCCUUUGAAACUAGGUAGCUAGAAUCUUGGAGAGGUCAGUGGAAUUCCGAGUGUAGAGGUGAAAUUCGUAGAUAUUCGGAAGAACACCAGUGGCGAAGGCGACUGACUGGACAAGUAUUGACGCUGAGGUACGAAAGCGUGGGGAGCAAACAGGAUUAGAUACCCUGGUAGUCCACGCCGUAAACGAUGAUAACUAGCUGUUCGGGCACUUGGUGCUUGAGUGGCGCAGCUAACGCAUUAAGUUAUCCGCCUGGGGAGUACGGUCGCAAGNUUAAAACUCAAAGGAAUUGACGGCUGNGAGNGCGAGCGACACGAGGGAGUAG
This 590-nucleotide ribosomal RNA is filed under the name uncultured bacterium. RNAcentral's name for it is "bacterial SSU rRNA". It matches the Rfam family "Bacterial small subunit ribosomal RNA", at positions 338 to 944 of the family's 1533-position model. The record is from RNAcentral.